AAACGGCUGCUAAUACCGAAUACGUCUUUUCAUCGCAUGGUGAGAAGAAGAAAAGGACGGCCUCUACACAAAGCGGUCGCCGAAGGAGGGGUUUUGCGUCUGAUUAGCUAGUUGGAGGGUAACGGCCCAACAAGGCGACGAUCAGUAGCCCGGUCCUGAGAGGAUGAACGGCCACAUUGGGACUGAGACACGGCCCAGACUCCUACGGGAGGCAGCAGUGGGGAAUCUUCCGCAAUGGACGAAAGUCUGACGGAGCAACGCCGCGUGAGUGAAGACGGUCUUCGGAUUGUAAAGCUCUGUUAUACGGGACGAACGGCAAGGUGGUAAAUAGCCAUCAUGAGUGACGGUACCGUAAGAGAAAGCCACGGCUAACUACGUGCCAGCAGCCGCGGUAAU
This 396-nucleotide ribosomal RNA is filed under the name uncultured Megasphaera sp. RNAcentral's name for it is "bacterial SSU rRNA". It matches the Rfam family "Bacterial small subunit ribosomal RNA", at positions 154 to 524 of the family's 1533-position model. The record is from RNAcentral. Lineage: Bacteria; Bacillati; Bacillota; Negativicutes; Veillonellales; Veillonellaceae.